RNAcentral lists this non-coding RNA (225 nucleotides) under Nitrospirota bacterium. Lineage: Bacteria; Pseudomonadati; Nitrospirota. The record is from RNAcentral.
AUCGUUUUGUCUUGUUCAGGUGCCCGAUUUGGGCUUAAAGGGGAAUCCCGUGAAAGACGGGAGCGGACCCGCCGCUGUAAUCCUGAUUCCGAUUCAUUCGGACUAGUCCGACAAGUCGGAAUAAAAGCUUCUAUCAAGCAUUGCCACUUUUCCCGACACAUCGGGGAUGGGAAGGCAGAUAGAAAUCAGGAGAGCCAGAAGACCAACCUGGACAAAACCUCACAU